AUCUCUCCUUUUUUUCCUUGUUUGCUGCCUCUACAUUUCUCUUAUUUUGCUUGGGAUUUUACUAAUUCCCUGGAAGAAGGCUUGACAGUGUCCGAAAAGAGCUCUCUGCCUGUUAUCGCCCUCUUUUUGUUUUAUUGCUCUCUCUCUGCUUUUUUUACUUCUGCUGUACUUUGAGAUUUCCAAAGUUCUCCCUAGUUCAAAUCCUUUGACUUGUGCAUUUGGCCCCCUGGUCAUGUCUUCUUUCUUCAUCCUGUCUCCUCUUAAUGCUUUCUCCAUCUCAUACCCAUCCCUUUUUUGGUGGGGGUCUCUACAUGCUCCUGUCCCAGGUCUCCUAAUGGAUGAGCAGAGUUCAUUUCUCUCUCUGUCACAUUGUCAUCCACCCUUGCUUUGUCUCCAAGCUCAUUGAUCCAGUUGCAUAGUCUCAAUAUUCUGACUUCUUCCUUCUGACCACUUCUACAGGACCUUCUGGUCUGAAUUUGAAAUAUUUCCUCUGUACUGAAAUUGUCCUCACAAGCCACUAUCACUUUACAAAAUGCUGCACAUGCUGCAGUUCUUUUUCUCUGACACCACUGGUCAUUUCUACAGAUUAUCUCUUUAUUAGGUUUUCAUGAUCUUGAAUCAGAUUCUGAACUAACCAGAAAUGUAGCCUUGCUGUCCUCUUACUUUGUUACCAUUCCUUCUACUUGCUAACCGCUUAUCCAUAUCAGCAUAUAUAUAUAUUUUGUAUUGAGAGAUGAAUAUAUUUUGUUUUAUUUUACAGUGUCCAUGCAUGAAGUGAAGUGUUGGAAGGUGGCUCUGACUUGGCCACUGUAUGUAUUAUUGCAGCCCAUUAAACCUGUCUUUGUUAAGGUGUCUUUCUGUAGGUUUACAUCAAUAUACAUUUCAAUACCUUCUCUCACCAGUCCCAUCUUGCAGCUUGGUUUGACUGCAGAAGAUUGUGUGAGAAUGGAUGCUGCUGCUUUUCAUUAUAUCAGAGGAGAGGACCCUGAGCCCAAAACCUUUCUAUCUUUUCCAGCUGUAUCUGUUGGUCAAGGCACAUGCCAUGCUUCACUUUUAAGAAAAAUGCGGACGUUGUUGCCCUUCAGCAGUGUGGACUUGACUCAUGGCAGGCCACCAUGCCGGUUCCUGCCAUCGGACGCUUCUCUGCCGCAUGGCCGUCACCUCCUCCUGGGACGUGGCACAGCCUGCAGGCAACGUGGUCCUGAAAGGGCCCUGGCUGUGCCAGACAGGAAGCUACUCUUUCUCCAGUGGCCUGAUUGUGACAGGGCAGUGGUGCAACAGCUUCCUUUCCUGCCUUUCCUAAAUACACUACUCAGCAUCGCAGAUCAUACUGCCUUGUUUCAAGCCCUGUGUCUCUAGCAAUGACUAGCACAAAAGAGAGCGCUUAGCAGUGUGGAGACCUGGAUUUUCACCAGCUACUUUGGAUGUUGCUACCUGUUGAGCUUCAGCCUCACAAGCUGCUAAACCCACCUGAGGAUCUGGGUGGAUGAGCCCCUGCCUGGGGCACCCUUCUGCCAGCUGUAGCUGCUAUACGAGC
Long non-coding RNA from Dromaius novaehollandiae (emu), 1537 nucleotides. RefSeq lists it as uncharacterized. Lineage: Eukaryota; Metazoa; Chordata; Aves; Casuariiformes; Dromaiidae. The transcript has 2 exons. The record is from RefSeq and is a predicted model, not a curated record.